AACGAACGCUGGCGGCAGGCCUUACACAUGCAAGUCGAACGUGAAAGUCCUUCGGGAUGAGUAAAGUGGCGUACGGGUGAGUAACGCGUGGGAACGUACCCUUCAGUACGGGAUAACAGCGGGAAACUGCUGCUAAUACCGUAUAUUCUCGAGAGAGGAAAGAUUUAUCGCUGAAGGAUCGGCCCGCGUCAGAUUAGCUAGUUGGUGGGGUAAUGGCCUACCAAGGCUACGAUCUGUAGCUGGUCUGAGAGGAUGAUCAGCCACACUGGAACUGAGACACGGUCCAGACUCCUACGGGAGGCAGCAGUGGGGAAUAUUGGACAAUGGGCGAAAGCCUGAUCCAGCCAUGCCGCGUGAAUGAUGAAGGCCUUAGGGUUGUAAAGUUCUUUUGACGGGGAAGAUAAUGACGGUACCCGUAGAAUAAGCUCCGGCUAACUUCGUGCCAGCCGCCGCAGUAA
Molecule: ribosomal RNA, 458 nt
Filed under: uncultured bacterium
Lineage: Bacteria
Description: partial 16S ribosomal RNA
Rfam family: Bacterial small subunit ribosomal RNA
Source: RNAcentral